GGCACCUUUGCUGAGUCAUUUGGGGUUGGCAGACCUGGAAAAGACAGCGGUUUAGAGAGUGGUUAGUGCCGUGAUCAGCCAACGCAGGCUCUAUUGUCUGUUAGUAUUUCCUGGUGCACUUUUGGAACCUGAUCUGCCCUUCUCAUGGUUAAGGGCAGGGGAUGAGUAACUAGCCAUGGGGAUGUUCUGCAUAUCUUGCCUUGUGCUGAAUUUCCUAUAAAAUGGCUUCAUGAAACUUUGAUGUCAGCUUAAGCAGUACUGCCACCAGGCUCUGCGGAGGGCCCUAAGUGAAUAGAGGGCAGCAGUGUCUUCCAAAUUUGAAAUGAGUGACAGUGGGUUAUAAUUAGGGGAGAAGAUGCUCUUGAUGCUACUGAGAAGAUACAGAGUGAGAACUUUUCUUAGAAAAGUCUGAGGUUGUAAAGAAGAACCAAGUUUUUGUUUUCCAGGCCCCCAGCAGAAUGGAUGGUGCCCACUCACAAUGAGGGCGGAUCUUCCGCACCUAGUCCACUCAGACUCACAUGCUGAUCUCUUCUGGCAACAUCUUCACAGACACGCCCAAAAAUAAUGCUUUACCGGGUUCCUAGGUAGUCUUUAAUCCAGUCAAACUGACACCUAAAAUUAACCAUCACAAUUACCUUCUCACUAAAAUCAAUCUGAGAAGAAAAUGGUCAUAAAGAAUUUGAUGCAAAUCCCUUUUUUGAUUUAUAGGAUGAACAGUAUCCUAGAUAAGGAAACAGUGAAAGGCUGUUUUGUUUUUUUUUUUUUUUCCCCUCCUCUUCAUACUCCCCAAUGUGAGUAAUGGGCAAAAAAUUCCAGGAGAAUGGGAGCAUUCUGAGUGAUAAGAACAAGUAUCUCUCAACAUGUAGAGUGUGUAUACGGGUGGGUUAUUUUCAAAUUUCAAGUCUGCAAAUGGGUAGUUCCAGGUAUGGCUUGGUGAUUGAAGUGGAGGUUCUUUUGGGGCUAGUCCUUUGUGCUCCUGUAAUUUCCCCCCAACUCUGAGUCUGAGCUCAGUGAGAACAAUCACUUUAAUGCUUAAUGCACACCGUAAUACACAGCGGAGUUAACAGAAUAUUCAGACAAUCACAGACACAAUGGCCUUCCUAGCCAUGAGUUUGGAAAAGUGUUUCUAGGAGCUUGUUGUAGCAGAGGCUGUGUAGAUGACAAAGAACAUGCACUGCAUUGUAGAUGGGUUAUAGUUAUGGUGACCAGCCCUUGGAGUUAGGGCAGAUUGGGGUAUUUGAUUGCAAAGAAAUAAGACACUUCUAUAUAUUUUUUUUUAAUUUGCUGAUCAUGGGAAAAUCUUCAUGAACCCUUAUCUUCUUUUUUUUUUUUUGAGAUGGAGUUUUGCUUUUGUCACCCAGGCGAGAGUGCAGUGGCAUGAUCUGGGCUCACUGCAACCUCCAUCUCCUGGGUUCAAGCAAUUCUCCUGCCUCAGCCUCCAGAGUAGCUGGGAUUACAGGUGUGAGCCACCAUACCUGGCUAAUUUUCUAUUUUUAAUAGAGGUGGGGUUUUGCCAUGUUGUCUAGGCUGGUCUCCAACUCCCGACUUCAGAUGAUCCACCCACCUCGGCCUCCCAAAUUGUUGAGAUUACAGGCAUGCACCACUGUGGUCGGCCAUAUUCAUGAUUUAAAGGAAUUGAAGAUAAAAGAAUUGAGUUUGAUAAAAAAGAGAGAGAAGAAUAUUAUUUUCUUCAAAUACUGACUUUUAAGUGAGAUAGUGUGCAAAAAAUCCAUAUACUAGGUACUCAAAUACCUGUUAGUUGACCCUUCCCCUAUGAUGUGAACUGGUUAUUCACAACUAUCUUUAUACUUUAAGUCCUGUUCCUAAACACACACUGAGGUUCUGGAGGGCAGGGCUGGGUCUUAGGUAAAUUUGUUCUGCUACCUUCUCACUGGACACCUGGCUCACCCAAAGCUUGCCUCUCAUCUGUUUUCUGUGUACAGAUUGCCAUUCAAAAAGUGUUUUCUGAGUGAAUGAAUUAUUUACUUUAUGGAGCAUCAACAUCCUUUUUAUGUUCUUGUCCAUUUUUAUGUCCUUGUCCUCACCCUUGUCCCUUCAAGUUCAGUGGGUCCCAGAACUGAACUUGAAGAGAGUUAAUUGGAUAUAGGCCAGGAGUGUGAUUGGACAUACGUGUGUGUGUGUUUCAUUAAAAUUCUCAAACUAAAAAUAAAUGGUUUGUGGAUUAGUCAACUUCUGUUUUCUUCUGCUCGAUAUCCUGAAUUAUCCAGUACCUGUUGCCUCCAUGCUACUGAAAAGUGACCAUGUGUGGUAUGACAAGCUUAUCAGAAGGCUGUCAAAGUGCUUGGCAGAGAAGACAUGGAGUUUAAUCCUGAGUGGAAAAUGGCAUUGUGGAAACAGAUGAAUUAUAGUAGAUGAAUAUAGUAGAAAAUAUAGUAGAUGAAUUAAAGUACAUGAAUUAUCUACUUUGUGGACCAUCAAAAUCCUUUUUAUGUUCUUGUCCAAGUUCAGUG
This 2471-nucleotide long non-coding RNA is filed under the name Homo sapiens (human). RNAcentral describes it as "non-protein coding lnc-OR8D4-1:1". Lineage: Eukaryota; Metazoa; Chordata; Mammalia; Primates; Hominidae. The record is from RNAcentral.